This 58-nucleotide microRNA precursor is filed under the name Ornithorhynchus anatinus (platypus). RNAcentral describes it as "microRNA oan-mir-7428 precursor". The record is from miRBase by way of RNAcentral. Lineage: Eukaryota; Metazoa; Chordata; Mammalia; Monotremata; Ornithorhynchidae.
UAAAUCAGUCAUCAGUCAGAGACUCAGUAAAUGCCUCUGAUUGGUGAUUUGCUUUAGC